RNAcentral lists this ribosomal RNA (321 nucleotides) under Triticum aestivum (bread wheat). Its description in RNAcentral is "partial small subunit ribosomal RNA". Lineage: Eukaryota; Viridiplantae; Streptophyta; Magnoliopsida; Poales; Poaceae. The record is from RNAcentral.
AUGCGUCCCGCAACCGCCGCGACGACAGCCUCGUCCCCAGAGGCGGGGACUUCCCUUAAGGCGAACCUAGUGCACGUGGCGCCGGUACCGUUGAUGCGGGUCGGGUGGCAGCCAGAUCUGCCACGGCCAGAACCGGUGUCCUCUUCCUCCCUAUCCAGCUUCCUCCCAUGGUUGAGAAGAGGGCUUCGUCAAGGAUCCCAUGAUGAAGGUCAACGUGGGAGGCUGCUUCCUUCGAUGGAGGCCAUGAGUGCCACGUGGGCACACACGUGGCUGCGCUUCAAGGUCAACCCUCGCCCAUCCUUUCUCUUCGAUUUGAUUUGA